Rosa rugosa (rugosa rose) is the source of this 956-nucleotide long non-coding RNA. RefSeq lists it as uncharacterized. The record is from RefSeq and is a predicted model, not a curated record. The transcript has 2 exons. NCBI's taxonomy places the organism in Eukaryota, Viridiplantae, Streptophyta, Magnoliopsida, Rosales, Rosaceae.
CAGAGAACGCAGUGAAACAAAAUUUUACCAUAACCAAAUGUUCAUACUCCAUACACUUUCGAAUUCGCCUUCGACCCUCUCUCCCACUCCUGCUUCCUCCAGAAUCCUCAAGCGCUCUCCGAUUCGUGGCAGCUCGGUCCUCCUCUCCCUCUCUCUAACCCCGACAACGCCAAUAUCAUAGAAAGGUUCCAAGUUCCUGGCGUUAAUUUUGUAUUCAAUUUUACAGUUUAAUUCGAAAUUGGGUGUUUCAAUCAUUUAUGUGUUUUCAAAUUUGCAAUUGGAUCCGGACGAAUACGACAUUGUAGUGAAGCCGAUUGAAGGGUUCGUAUUGUUGGUAACGGCCAGUUCGUCGGUGAAGGUGAUGUGUCUGCACAUUGUGAAAAUCAUGACGGGAAUGACUUUAAAAUGCAGUCAAUGCACCUAUUGGAGCCUAUGAUCAGUUUGUUCUGGUUCAAUAAUCACAAGAGAUCCACAGAUGGGGCAGUUUUUAGAAAUGAGAUGGGGGAAUUUAAUGGGUGCUUUUGCAAUACCAGAUAUAAGGAUUUUUUCUCCUUUGACAAUGGAAUUUGAUGGCUUGGAAAGCAGGGUAUUUGAAAUUGGAAUUCUCCGUCUUGAAGUGGAGAUUGAUAGUAUAGAGGCUAGUAGCUUGGUAGUCUCUAACAAGAUGUGUUGGCGGCAAAGAGGGGGUUAAUAGUGUCGCUCUUAUUUUAUCAGACAUCCCCAAAGGGACCUGAAAGUGCUGUUGAAGAAAUCUGGUGCACCCAAGGUCUGCUUCCAACCAAGGGAAUGCAACAGAGUGGUUCAUGUGUUAGCUAGAUUCAUAGUGAAGGAACGUAUUGAUAUAUUUUGUAUUGAAAUUGGGCCUGAAUGGCUUAUGAGAUUGAUAAAUAUCAAUGCUAAUAUUUGUAAGUUUGUAACCCUUCCAAUGAUUAAUGAAUGGUUACCUUUUUUGUUCA